ACUGGACUCAGCACUGGCACAGAGGCAGCACAGCUAUGUGGGAAGAACACAGGCUGGUCUGCAGGUGUCUAGAUUUGGAUCCUAGCUCUGUUACUUACUACUUUGUGACUUUGAGCAAAUUCACGUCUCUGAAAGGAAACUGAGAUUCAGUGAGACAAGGACAUUUGUUCAAAUAAAUCUCGUAACUCUGAAGAGGCCUGGAUCUGAGAAGAAUGGGUGCCAGGUAGUCUGACUGGGCUAGUUUUGCCCCAUCAUGGCCCUGUGACAUCCGUUCUGCCUCCCAGCUAGACUGGACUCCCCCAGACCAGGAACUGUGUCCUGGCUCUUCCUAGCACCCAGCUCAGGGAGGGCUAUCAAGGCUGCUGAAAGCAGCUCAGUGAAUGUCAGUCUCUGAGCAGAUGGGAAGAACUGAGGAUGAAUUUGUCCACUUAAAUGGGAAUGGAAGCUUAAGAAUCAAGAUAUUUGAAGAUAAGGGAAACUGAGGUACAGAGGAGGGGAAGAGCCAUGAUUGACUUCAUGCAACUCAUCAGGGAGGGCACCCAGAUUUACACGUGGAUCUGUGUCACUACAAAGCAGUGCCCUUGACUUAACACUCCAUCACUUUCCAUACAAGCUUCAAACUGAACUCCACCUUCAUUAGCUUGGUGAGCGCAGACCGCUGAACUCUUCUAACAUCUGUCUUAGAGGUUAUGUGUUGGCUGCUGCGUUCAGAGCUAUCCUAAAAGUAACUGAAACAAGGGAUUUUUGACUCCAUGGCUAAACAGUUUCUGGGGAGCAGACCUUGAUUCUACCAUUACUUAGAAAACAAAUCAAAUUAGAGUCAGACUAGUGAUGUUGUCAGAACUUUUCAAACAUAAAGACCCAUGAAUGGACAUGUACACUUGGGAUCAAAAGCACUCUCCUCUUCCAAACAGCAGUCUACACUUGGCCUUUUGAGAGGCUGAGCUAUUGCCAAGGACUAUUUAGAUGGAAGAUUUGAUUGUUGGUCAAGGAGACACUGAAGAAGAGAUAAGAUGGUGUACUGGAAUGGAAGGAAGGCUCUGGACAUCAGAACUUUGGGCCACUGUACUGCUGUGUAAAUUUGCGAAACCUACUUAAUCCUUAUGGACUGUUUCCUCAUCUGGAAAAUGAGUUAAAUGAGAUCCAUUUUAUAAAAUUGUUGUAAUGAUUAUAUAAGUAAACACAUAGUAAUAUUAUUUGAUUUUAUUAUUAUUAUUAUGACUUGUCACUCAAAGCAUUUAGCUUUGGUGUCUCUAAUAUUCAGUACUCACAUUUAUGUUCAAAUUUGGAUGCUAGGUAGAAAUGAAGACUUUGUAUCUGCCACCAGAGAAGGCUAUUUAUUAUUUGUCAUUGCCUGUCACGAACUCACAAAGAUAGUAUUUGCCUAUCCAAAGGUAUCUAAUUCCUCAGUUUCUUAUGUGACUAUAAAGGGGCCUACUUUGAUCUUACCAUGAACUCAAAUCCUUUCGAAAUUUCAAUUUGUC
This 1484-nucleotide long non-coding RNA is filed under the name Homo sapiens (human). Its description in RNAcentral is "HSALNT0301009". The record is from RNAcentral. Lineage: Eukaryota; Metazoa; Chordata; Mammalia; Primates; Hominidae.